Molecule: ribosomal RNA, 425 nt
Filed under: uncultured bacterium
Lineage: Bacteria
Description: bacterial SSU rRNA
Rfam family: Bacterial small subunit ribosomal RNA
Source: RNAcentral
GUGGGGAAUCUUAGACAAUGGGGGAAACCCUGAUCUAGCCAUGCCGCGUGAUCGAUGAAGGCCUUAGGGUUGUAAAGAUCUUUCAGGUGGGAAGAUAAUGACUGUACCACCAGAAGAAGCCCCGGCUAACUCCGUGCCAGCAGCCGCGGUAAUACGGAGGGGGCUAGCGUUGUUCGGAAUUACUGGGCGUAAAGCGCACGUAGGCGGAUUGGAAAGUUGGGGGUGAAAUCCCGGGGCUCAACCCCGGAACUGCCUUCAAAACUCCCAGUCUUGAGUUCGAGAGAGGUGAGUGGAAUUCCGAGUGUAGAGGUGAAAUUCGUAGAUAUUAGGAAGAACACCAGUGGUGAAGGCGGCUCACUGGUCCGGUACUGACGCUGAGGUGCGAAAGCGUGGGGAGCAAACAGGAUUAGAUACCCCAGUAGUCC